Molecule: ribosomal RNA, 758 nt
Filed under: uncultured archaeon
Lineage: Archaea
Description: bacterial SSU rRNA
Rfam family: Archaeal small subunit ribosomal RNA
Source: RNAcentral
GGACAACCUGCCCUGAGGACUGGAAUAAUCCCGGGAAACUGGGGGUAAUUCCAGAUAUGUCAGAACUCCUGGAAUGGGUUCUGGCAGAAAUGCUCCGGCGCCUCAGGAUGGGUCUGCGGCCUAUCAGGGUAGUAGUGGGUGUAACGUACCUACUAGCCUACGACGGGUACGGGUUGUGAGAGCAAGAGCCCGGAGAUGGAUUCUGAGACAUGAAUCCAGGCCCUACGGGGUGCAGCAGGCGCGAAAACUUUACAAUGCGGGCAACCGCGAUAAGGGGACCUCGAGUGCUGGGUUACAAACCUGGCUGUUGGGCUGCCUAAAAAGCAGUCUAUAGCAAGGGCCGGGCAAGACCGGUGCCAGCCGCCGCGGUAACACCGGCGGCUCGAGUGGUAACCGCUAUUAUUGGGUCUAAAGGGUCUGUAGCCUGCCGGCUAAGUCUCUUGGGAAAUCUGGCAUCUCAAGUGUCAGGCUGCCAGGAGAUACUGGUCAGCUUGGGACCGGGAGAGGUGAGAGGUACCUCAGGGGUAGGGGUGAAAUCUUGUAAUCCUCGAGGGACCACCAGUGGCGAAGGCGUCUCACCAGAACGGAUCCGACGGCAAGGGACGAAAGCUAGGGGCACGAACCGGAUUAGAUACCCGGGUAGUCCUAGCCGUAAACGAUACUCGCUAGGUGUCGGCCACGGUGCGACCGUGGUCGGUGCCGUAGGGAAGCCGUGAAGCGAGCCACCUGGGAAGUACGGCCGCAAGGCUGAAACUUAA